CCUACGGGUGGCAGCAGUGGGGAAUAUUGUACAAUGGGGGAAACCCUGAUGCAGCGACGCCGCGUGAAGGAAGAAGUAUUUCGGUAUGUAAACUUCUAUCAGCAGGGAAGAAAAUGACGGUACCUGACUAAUAAGCCCCGGCUAAAUACGUGCCAGCAGCCGCGGUAAUACGUAGGGGGGAAGCGUUAUCCGGAUUUACGGGGUGUAAAGGGAGCGUAGGCGGUGAUGCAAGUCAGAAAGGAAAGCCCGCAGCUCAACUGCGGGACUGCUUUGGAAACUGUAUGACUAGAUUGCAGGAGAGGUAAGUGGAAUUCCUAGUGUAGCGGUGAAAUGCGUAGAUAUUAGGAGGAACACCAGUGGCGAAGGCGGCUUACUGGACUGUAAAUGACGCUGAGGCUCGAAAGCGUGGGGAGCAAACAGGAUUAGAUACCCCAGUAGUC
RNAcentral lists this ribosomal RNA (440 nucleotides) under uncultured bacterium. Its description in RNAcentral is "partial 16S ribosomal RNA". It matches the Rfam family "Bacterial small subunit ribosomal RNA", at positions 338 to 795 of the family's 1533-position model. The record is from RNAcentral.